This 336-nucleotide unclassified non-coding RNA is filed under the name soil metagenome. RNAcentral describes it as "partial contains 5.8S ribosomal RNA, internal transcribed spacer 2, and large subunit ribosomal RNA". The stretch from base 1 to 120 matches the Rfam family "5.8S ribosomal RNA", at positions 35 to 154 of the family's 154-position model. The record is from RNAcentral.
GAUGAAGAACGCAGCAAAAUGCGAUAAGUAAUGUGAAUUGCAGAAUUCAGUGAAUCAUCGAAUCUUUGAACGCACAUUGCGCCCGCCAGCACUCUGGCGGGCAUGCCUGUCCGAGCGUCAUUUCGACCCCUCAAGCCCCGCCUGGCGUUGGGGCGCUGCCGCACAGCGCGCGCAGGCCCCCAAAGACAGCGGCGGCAGCGCCGCGAGACCGAGCGCAGUAGUCACCUCCUCGCUCCGGGACCGCGGCGCCGUCCGGCCGUAAAAGAAACCACCAAAGGUUGACCUCGGAUCAGGUAGGAAUACCCGCUGAACUUAAGCAUAUCAAUAAGCGGAGGA